CCUACGGGAGGCUGCAGUGGGGAAUAUUGCACAAUGGGGGAAACCCUGAUGCAGCGACGCCGCGUGAGUGAAGAAGUAUUUCGGUACGUAAAGCUCUAUCAGCAGGGAAGAAAAAAAGUCCUUUGGACUUUGGACGGUACCUGACUAAGAAGCCCCGGCUAACUACGUGCCAGCAGCCGCGGUAAUACGUAGGGGGCAAGCGUUAACCGGAUUUACUGGGUGUAAAGGGAGCGUAGACGGCAGCGAAAGUCUGGAGUGAAAUGCCGGGGCCCAACCCCGGAACUGCUUUGGAAACUGUGCAGCUGGAGUGCAGGAGAGGUAAGCGGAAUUCCUAGUGUAGCGGUGAAAUGCGUAGAUAUUAGGAGGAACACCAGUGGCGAAGGCGGCUUACUGGACUGUAACUGACGUUGAGGCUCGAAAGCGUGGGGAGCAAACAGGAUUAGAUACCCGUGUAGUC
RNAcentral lists this ribosomal RNA (457 nucleotides) under uncultured bacterium. Its description in RNAcentral is "partial 16S ribosomal RNA". It matches the Rfam family "Bacterial small subunit ribosomal RNA", at positions 338 to 795 of the family's 1533-position model. The record is from RNAcentral.